GGGGGGGGUAAGCGUUGUUCGGAAUUACUGGGCGUAAAGGGCUCGUAGGCGGCCAACUAAGUCAGACGUGAAAUCCCUCAGCUUAACUGGGGAACUGCGUCUGAUACUGGAUGGCUUGGAUUUGGGAGAGGGAUGCGGAAUUCCAGGUGUAGCGGUGAAAUGCGUAGAUAUCUGGAGGAACACCGGUGGCGAAGGCGGCAUCCUGGACCAAUAUUGACGCUGAGGAGCGAAAGCUAGGGGAGCAAACGGGAUUAGAUACCCCGGUAGUCCUAGCCCUAAACGAUGAAUGCUUGGUGUAGCGGGUAUCGAUCCCUGCUGUGCCGAAGCUAACGCAUUAAGCAUUCCGCCUGGGGAGUACGGUCGCAAGGCUG
This 371-nucleotide ribosomal RNA is filed under the name uncultured bacterium. RNAcentral describes it as "bacterial SSU rRNA". It matches the Rfam family "Bacterial small subunit ribosomal RNA", at positions 527 to 896 of the family's 1533-position model. The record is from RNAcentral.